Manis javanica (Malayan pangolin) is the source of this 3382-nucleotide long non-coding RNA. RefSeq lists it as uncharacterized. Lineage: Eukaryota; Metazoa; Chordata; Mammalia; Pholidota; Manidae. The record is from RefSeq and is a predicted model, not a curated record.
UGGGGGCUUGGGCUGGGGUCUUCGAGGCCUCGGGCCCCGAGCAGGCUCAGCUGCAGGUGAACCCCUUGCCCGGCCGCACCCCAAACCCACACCACCACCACCACAGACCAAGCUGAGCAGGAAACAAAAUGGAGGCAGCAGCUCGGGUCUGCUUCCCCGAGCCAAGCCUGUACAGCCCCAGGGCUCCCUCCUGCAGCAGGCCCGACGCCCGCGAGGCAAGGAGCUGGCUCGUCCCAGCCACCGCGGGCUGCCGCCCUAGAGCAGCGCAGACAGGCCGGGGAUUCGGCCCUGCAGUCCCCACAGCCCUUCACCCACCACCUCUUCCCCUCCCCCUCCCCCCCAUUCCUCUUCCUCCCCCUGCCCAGCCGCACGGGGUGAACGGCGACCGGGAGCCGGGUCGGGUCGGGUUACCCGCCCGGGCACUGUCCGCCCGGCCGGGGCCUCGGAAUGAGGGAUAAGACCAGACGACCCCCGCCCUGAGCCCACCCCCCCGCACCCAAGCCGAGCGGCAACCUGACUGCGCGCCUGCACCUCGACCUGCCGCCGUGCGGCCCCCCACCCAGGACCACCACUCUGAGCGCCUACUAGCUGCCACUCUACAGCCUUGAGUCAGUCACUUAACAGCCAGCCCCAAGCCUGUUUUCUCACUUGUGGCUUCCAGUGCACAGACCAUCUGUGAGAAUCCUCUAAGGUAAAGGCAAUAUGCUGAGUGCUGGGAAAACAAAGGAUGAGAUGCCCCAAGGAAAAGACAGUUACAUAAAGCUGCUAAAGUAUGAAGAGGGUCUUGGGACAAUACAAUGGUUCCUCCGAGAGCUGACCUCUAGACAUCACUGCACUUAUUGGAAACCUUUCCAACCUCCCAGUCCCCCUUGGAAGAUGAAUGAGUAAGGGUGAAAGAGGGACAGGCAGUUGGGGAUGUACAGGUGACUGACUUGUCUCAGAGAGAAGACUGAAACCCCAGGAAAAAACUCUUGGACUUCCCUGAGGAGACCUCAGGGGGCCUUUCCUGCCUCUUAAGAGUAGAACUUAGCUACAGAGAUCUCACCAACAGCAGUCCCCUUGAGCCUCCGCAUCCAGCAGGCCCUAGCCAAGCACCACAAGUGUGCCAGCAUAUUCUCACAAGGACAUUUAGUCCAAAGUAGGGGAAGAAAGAAUAGGACUCUUCCUUUCCUCUUCAUCUCAGCUCAAGGACCCAUCCUUAAGUCAGAGAUUAGAAUCAAUAAAUUCUUGCUGAAUCUGUACUGGACACCAUGCUGAGCACUUGAAGCACAUUAGUUCUUUUGACCCUUUAGUCGCCCUACAAAGAACUAAGAUCUAAAAGUUUAAGCUCUUCUGCAAAGUCUCAGAGCCUUAACUGUCACCUGGUAUAACUGGCCUCACAUCACUUGCUCUUAGCCAGCAUACCUCCCAGAUACCACCUGUAAGGGCCCAGUACAAUGUCUUGCCCACAGAUGCUCAGGAAUUGGAGUGUCAGGUAAAGUGAGAUUACCUUAGCCUCAGUCUUCUGAUCUGUAAAUUAUGGUUACUGAUAAUUCUUACCCUGAAGAGAUAGAUACCUGUCAAGACCUUUGACCAGUAUACAAUGACCCCUUUUUUUCUUAGAAUUGCCCCCCCUUUCAUUCACUAAUUCAACAAAUAUUUACUGAGCUCCUCCUCACAGCCUUGUGGGGAAGACAGAUAAGUACUAACACGGUAGAGAGCUGAGUACUGAGAGAAGAUGGAGGAGCUGGGGAGGCUUCAGGGGCAGUGAGGGAAGGCCUCCCAUAGAAGUGACAUCUAGGUAGAGUCCUGAAGGAUAUGCAGGAAUAGCCAGGAAAAGAGGUGACAAGGUAAAGUUUUCAAUGGAAGAGUCCAGAGAAACACAGGCCUUGGAACAACUUACUGCAGUUAAGUGUGCUCAGAUGUAUAGAGUCCUGCCUAUGCAGGGCCUUCUUGGUCAAGUUAAAGAAUUUAGGUGUUAUCUUGAGGGCAGUAGGGAGCCAUGGAAAGUUAAGGAACAGGUUAAGGAUCACACCUGUGCAGUAGGAAGUUCACUCUGCCAACAGCGUCCAGAAGAAAUCGAUACUUCCUCUAGAAACACAACCAUGACCAAGGGUCUUGCCUCUGCAAUAUGCUAGGACUAUCUUGUUCCAAUAAUAGUUGUGGCUUCUCUUCUGUGCUCUGUACUUUCCAAGACACCCUCUCAUCUAAUCCUGAGAUUAAAUGAGUAGUAUUGUUAUCCCCAUCUUCCAGAGAGAAAGCAUGCCUUAACUCAGAGCCAAACUCCCAACCCUAACUCCCAGCUCAGGCUCUUCAUACCCAGUGGAGAGAAGCAGCAUCUGCUUUCCAGCUAUCAGCCAAGUUUUGGGAGCAGAAGGGAGGCCUUUGGUAAUUACCAAAUCACCAAAUGCUGCUGGUGAACACCACAACCAUCCCUUCGGAGGGGUCCAGCAAUUAUUUCCUUUCUCUCCCCACCCAGCAAUUUACCAGAAGAAGAUCAGGUUUUCACUUAAGAUCAAGGAAGACUUAGCCAUAUCCAAAGCCAUACCAGCCCUCCAUCAGCUUCCUUCCUACCCAAAUACCAGGCUUCUGUCUGCUAACCUGACAGUGUAGCCCCAGUCCCAAGGACUCAAGUAUCUACCUUCAAGUGUUCUUUCACAUUUUUUUCUCUUGAAAGCCCUGUGUGUGUUGGCUUUUGCCCUUACCACUUUUCCAGCUGUCCAGUGUAUUCACCAUGCCAGCAAAGGCCACAUUCCAUCCUGUGCUCAUUUUGUUUCCUCUGCCUUUUUUUCCUGUCAGGCAAACUCCGACUCAUCCUUCAGGGCCCAGUUUGGAAGACUCCUCCUGAAAGUCUUCCCUGAUCCUACCCUGACAGGCAGUCAUCUUUCCCUGAAAGAGCCCCUAUAGUAAGCAUUAGCUUCCAAAUCUGGUCCCAGCCAUUCGGUGAACCUCUUACCACAGGCUUAUGUCCCUCCCCCCAUCUCCAAGCUUGUGUCUCCAUCAGACAGAAGAAUUGUGGUUUGAAUUAUACACCAAAUGGGUUGUGCAAAACUUAAACUCUCCCUUAAAGGAUUCAGGGAUGCUUGGGGAACACACAGGCCCCUGUGCCAUACAAUGCUUUCAGAAAGUAUAAAAGAAUCUAUAGGAUCUGAAGUCAGAUAGAUGUGGAUUCUGACAGCAGCUAGCUACUUACCAGGCCAAGUGCCUCUCCUUCCCUGAGCCACACAAAAGGGAUGGUUAUACAGGUUAAUAUGUGACUGUAGACAGGGCCAGGCACCAGGCCCUCCACACAGCAACUGUUCCCUGGGUGCCUCCUUCAGGGUGCCACCAGGCUCCUCAAACCAACAUGUCAGUCUUCCUCCCAUGCCCCAUAUCUGCUUCUUCUCUUGGUGUAUGAUAUUGU